CUUACCCAGACGCCCAUCUGAGGCUUUUCUCCCCUAUUCCGAUGGAAUGUGUCCCCGGAAGCUGAUACUUCGCCAUUUUUUUUUUUUUUUUUUUUUUUUUUUUGUCUCUUAACAGGCGGGCUGAGGAAGUUGCCUCUCUCUGGCGCCUGCAUUCAAUGAACGUUUGUAAUGUUAGCAGGUGUGUGGGUGAGUGCUCCCUGUGAUGGAACGGUGUCCUGUUCAGGACUGGGUGCCACCUGGCACCUUGAGCUGCCAGGACCGGCUCGGGCUGCUCGCGAUCCCAAACUAGAACAAAUGGAAAUGUUCAGUUGUCUAGCUCACAGGGAUAUCCACAAGCCAGACCCAGAAAGCCUUUGCUACCAUUGAUGAAGAUGCCAAGUCCACAGCCCAACAGCCAGAAGACCCUUGGUCUAAUUUUCUUAUCAUUGGCCUUCAACAUUUUUAUCAGGAUAUAUCUGUGUAUAUUGCAGAUUUUACAAAUUGAAGGUUUGUGACAACUCCCUCAAGGAAGUCUGUUGGUGUUAUUUUUCCAACAGCAGGUACUCACUUCAUGUCUCUGUGUCACAUUUUGGCCUUUAAACCAAGAGAAGACAUACCUGAGCAAUUGAACCAGAAGGGAUGAGCCCCACCUGGAUCUGAUGCAGAUUAAAAUAUCUUGGACCUUGGGCCUGAGCUUGGAAUGGAAUGAGACCUUUGAGGAUCUUAGUGGGGAGUAAGUAUGUUUUGCAAAAGGGAGAAAUGGAAAUAAUUUGUGCUGAGAAGUUGGACUAUGGCAGCUUGAGGUCAGUGAAGACAUCACUACACAAGCUUUGGUACUCCUGCCAUUAAGACAUAAAGACAGUUUUCUUUCCCUUUAAAUCAAAACAGGCUUGGAAUGUUUUAACCAAUAGAGUAUGCCAGAAGUGACCCAUAGAAUGUGACGGAAGUGACCUCAUGUGACUUUUGAGCCUAGAUCAUAAAAAACCAUGAAGCUUAUGCCAUGUUCCAUGGGUUGUACCAAUAAGAGCCCUGAUCUACUAGAUAAGCCUCCUGGGGAUGCCAUGUACUUUUUUCUUAUACGUUACAAUUGUCUUAAGGAAAGGGUGAUGCCAAUUAUAACAUGACACAGCGAUUUUUGAAAAUGUUUUGCAC
Molecule: long non-coding RNA, 1131 nt
Filed under: Homo sapiens (human)
Lineage: Eukaryota; Metazoa; Chordata; Mammalia; Primates; Hominidae
Description: HSALNT0158790
Source: RNAcentral